CUGAAAUAAGUUUAAUUAAAACACUGAAGGUGAU
Molecule: small RNA, 34 nt
Filed under: Bombyx mori (domestic silkworm)
Lineage: Eukaryota; Metazoa; Arthropoda; Insecta; Lepidoptera; Bombycidae
Description: ovarian small RNA-14753
Source: RNAcentral